UACGUAGGGACCAAGCGUUGUUCGGAUUUAUUGGGUUUAAAGGGUGCGUAGGCGGCCCUGUAAGUCAGUGCUGAAAUAUCCCGGCUUAACCGGGAGGGUGGCAUUGAUACUGCGGUGCUUGAGGACUGGAGAGGAGACUGGAAUUCAUGGUGUAGCAGUGAAAUGCGUAGAGAUCAUGAGGAAGACCGGUGGCGAAGGCGGGUCUCUGGACAGUUCCUGACACUGAGGCACGAAGGCCAGGGGAGCAAACGGG
RNAcentral lists this ribosomal RNA (253 nucleotides) under uncultured bacterium. Its description in RNAcentral is "partial 16S ribosomal RNA". It matches the Rfam family "Bacterial small subunit ribosomal RNA", at positions 524 to 776 of the family's 1533-position model. The record is from RNAcentral.